GAUGAAGAAUGCAGCGAAAUGCGAUAAGUAAUGUGAAUUGCAGAAUUCAGUGAAUCAUCGAAUCUUUGAACGCACAUUGCGCCCGUCAGUAUUCUGGCGGGCAUGCCUGUUCGAGCGUCAUUACGCCCCUCAAGUCCCCUGUGGACUUGGUGUUGGGGAUCGGCGAGGCUGGUUUUCCAGCACAGCCGUCCCUUAAAUUAAUUGGCGGUCUCGCCGUGGCCCUCCUCUGCGCAGUAGUAAAACACUCGCAACAGGAGCCCGGCGCGGUCCACUGCCGUAAAACCCCCCAACUUUUUAUAGUUGACCUCGAAUCAGGUAGGACUACCCGCUGAACUUAAGCAUAUCAAUAAGCGGAGGA
This 358-nucleotide unclassified non-coding RNA is filed under the name soil metagenome. RNAcentral's name for it is "partial contains 5.8S ribosomal RNA, internal transcribed spacer 2, and large subunit ribosomal RNA". The stretch from base 1 to 120 matches the Rfam family "5.8S ribosomal RNA", at positions 35 to 154 of the family's 154-position model. The record is from RNAcentral.